This 481-nucleotide ribosomal RNA is filed under the name uncultured Curtobacterium sp. RNAcentral describes it as "bacterial SSU rRNA". It matches the Rfam family "Bacterial small subunit ribosomal RNA", at positions 900 to 1382 of the family's 1533-position model. The record is from RNAcentral. Lineage: Bacteria; Bacillati; Actinomycetota; Actinomycetes; Micrococcales; Microbacteriaceae.
CUUAAAGGAAUUGACGGGGCCCGCACAAGCGGCGGAGCAUGCGGAUUAAUUCGAUGCAACGCGAAGAACCUUACCAAGGCUUGACAUACACCGGUAACGCCCAGAGAUGGGUGCCCCUUUGUGGUCGGUGUACAGGUGGUGCAUGGUUGUCGUCAGCUCGUGUCGUGAGAUGUUGGGUUAAGUCCCGCAACGAGCGCAACCCUCGUCCUAUGUUGCCAGCGGGUCAUGCCGGGGACUCAUGGGAGACUGCCGGGGUCAACUCGGAGGAAGGUGGGGAUGACGUCAAAUCAUCAUGCCCCUUAUGUCUUGGGCUUCACGCAUGCUACAAUGGCCGGUACAAAGGGCUGCGAUACCGCGAGGUGGAGCGAAUCCCAGAAAGCCGGUCUCAGUUCGGAUUGGGGUCUGCAACUCGACCCCAUGAAGUCGGAGUCGCUAGUAAUCGCAGAUCAGCAACGCUGCGGUGAAUACGUUCCCGGGCCUU